RNAcentral lists this ribosomal RNA (390 nucleotides) under uncultured bacterium. Its description in RNAcentral is "bacterial SSU rRNA". It matches the Rfam family "Bacterial small subunit ribosomal RNA", at positions 28 to 417 of the family's 1533-position model. The record is from RNAcentral.
GACGAACGCUGGCGGCGUGCUUAACACAUGCAAGUCGAACGAUGAAGCUAGAGCUUGCUCUGGUGAAUUAGUGGCGAACGGGUGAGUAACACGUGAGUAACCUGCCCCGAACUCUGGGAUAACUGCUGGAAACGGUAGCUAAUACUGGAUACGACCUACGAAGGCAUCUUCUGUAGGUGGAAAGAAUUUCGGUUCGGGAUGGACUCGCGGCCUAUCAGCUUGUUGGUGAGGUAAUGGCUCACCAAGGCGACGACGGGUAGCCGGCCUGAGAGGUGACCGGCCACACUGGGACUGAGACACGGCCCAGACUCCUACGGGAGGCAGCAGUGGGGAAUAUUGCACAAUGGGCGCAAGCCUGAUGCAGCAACGCCGCGUGAGGGAUGACGGCCU